GAUGGGAAACGGGUUAAUAUUCCCGUACUUGGUGUUACUGCGAAGGGGGGACGGAGAAGGCUAUGUUGGCCGGGCGACGGUUGUCCCGGUUUAAGCGUGUAGGUGUGUGUUCCAGGUAAAUCCGGUUCACUUUAACACUGAGGCGUGAUGACGAGGCACUACGGUGCUGAAGCAACAAAUGCCCUGCUUCCAGGAAAAGCCUCUAAGCAUCAGGUAACAUCAAAUCGUACCCCAAACCGACACAGGUGGUCAGGUAGAGAAUACCAAGGCGCUUGAGAGAACUCGGGUGAAGGAACUAGGCAAAAUGGUGCCGUAACUUCGGGAGAAGGCACGCUGACACGUAGGUGAAGUGAUUUACUCAUGGAGCUGAAGUCAGUCGAAGAUACCAGCUGGCUGCAACUGUUUAUUAAAAACACAGCACUGUGCAAACACGAAAGUGGACGUAUACGGUGUGACGCCUGCCCGGUGCCGGAAGGUUAAUUGAUGGGGUCAGCGCAAGCGAAGCUCCUGAUCGAAGCCCCGGUAAACGGCGGCCGUAACUAUAACGGUCCUAAGGUAGCGAAAUUCCUUGUCGGGUAAGUUCCGACCUGCACGAAUGGCGUAAUGAUGGCCAGGCUGUCUCCACCCGAGACUCAGUGAAAUUGAACUCGCUGUGAAGAUGCAGUGUACCCGCGGCAAGACGGAAAGACCCCGUGAACCUUUACUAUAGCUUGACACUGAACAUUGAGCCUUGAUGUGUAGGAUAGGUGGGAGGCUUUGAAGUGUGGACGCCAGUCUGCAUGGAGCCGACCUUGAAAUACCACCCUUUAAUGUUUGAUGUUCUAACGUGGACCCGUAAUCCGGGUUGCGGACAGUGUCUGGUGGGUAGUUUGACUGGGGCGGUCUCCUCCUAAAGAGUAACGGAGGAGCACGAAGGUUGGCUAAUCCUGGUCGGACAUCAGGAGGUUAGUGCAAUGGCAUAAGCCAGCUUGACUGCGAGCGUGACGGCGCGAGCAGGUGCGAAAGCAGGUCAUAGUGAUCCGGUGGUUCUGAAUGGAAGGGCCAUCGCUCAACGGAUAAAAGGUACUCCGGGGAUAACAGGCUGAUACCGCCCAAGAGUUCAUAUCGACGGCGGUGUUUGGCACCUCGAUGUCGGCUCAUCACAUCCUGGGGCUGAAGUAGGUCCCAAGGGUAUGGCUGUUCGCCAUUUAAAGUGGUACGCGAGCUGGGUUUAGAACGUCGUGAGACAGUUCGGUCCCUAUCUGCCGUGGGCGCUGGAGAACUGAGGGGGGCUGCUCCUAGUACGAGAGGACCGGAGUGGACGCAUCACUGGUGUUCGGGUUGUCAUGCCAAUGGCACUGCCCGGUAGCUAAAUGCGGAAGAGAUAAGUGCUGAAAGCAUCUAAGCACGAAACUUGCCCCGA
Molecule: ribosomal RNA, 1402 nt
Filed under: Salmonella enterica
Lineage: Bacteria; Pseudomonadati; Pseudomonadota; Gammaproteobacteria; Enterobacterales; Enterobacteriaceae
Description: partial 23S ribosomal RNA
Rfam family: Bacterial large subunit ribosomal RNA
Source: RNAcentral